AUUAUAUUAAGAUUAAAAUUAUUACUAUACACAAAUUAAAAACAUUUAUAAGUUGAGUAAAGGUGAUUGAAAUUUUAUUUAUAUUAAUCUAUAAGUACUGAAAAGGAAUAUAUUAAAUUAAAAAAAAGCAAUUUUUUAUAAUGUACCUUUUGCAUCAUGGUUUAGCUAGAGAAUAUUUUUAAUAAAAUUUCUCGAAAUUCGAUGAGCUAUUUUAGGUUUUGUUUUAGCAAUAAUAAGUAAAUGUGGCAAAAUUUUUUCAAAAACUUAAAAUAGAAAUUAGAUUUUAUUCGUAUCGAAUGAUAGCUAGUUUUCUUAUAAAAGCAUAGAAGUGCGUGAUUCAAUUAUAUUUAAUUCAUAAUUUAUUAUGAUUUAAUGUUUUAAAUCAUCAGACUUUUAAGGAUAAGCUUGAAAGUUAAAAUACUAAAUUAUAUUUAUUUUAAUUUAAAAUUUAAGCUUGAAAUUAGCUAUAAUUUAAAAUUUGUUAUAAAUCAUUUAGAUAGUCUAAUAAAAUAAAUUUAUUUGUUUUUAUAGGAAGGAUUUUUUAAACUUUUAAAAAAUAUCUUCAUGCUAAAAUGAGUAUUAUAUAAACUAUAUUUUAAUAAAAUUAAAAUUAAAACAUAAAAUUCUUAUUAUAAAUAAAUUUUAAGAAGGAACUCGGCAAAAUUUGCUUUGCCUGUCUAUCAAAAACAUGGCUCUUUGAAAUUAAUGUAUAAAGAGUCGAGCCUGCCCAGUGAUAAAAUUUAAACGGCCGCGGUACUCUGACCGUGCGAAGGUAGCAUAAUCAUUUGCCCUAUAAUUGAGGGCUUGUAUGAAUGGUUUGACAAGAGCAUAACUGUCUCCUUAAAAUUUUAUAAAAUUUGGUUUUUAGGUGAAGAAACCUAAAUGAAAUUGAAAGACAAGAAGACCCUAUCGAGCUUUAGAUUAAUUAAUUAGAAAAUAUAAUUAAAAUAAUUAAUUUUAAUUAAAAACUUUGGUUGGGGCGACUGAGGAACAUAUAAAGCUUCCUUAAUCAAAAUUAACUAAUAAGUAAUGAUCCAAAAAUUUUGAUUAAUAAAAUUAGUUACCGUAGGGAUAACAGCAUAAUCUUUUUUGAGAGUUCUUAUCGAAAAAAAGGUUUGUGACCUCGAUGUUGGACUAGGAUAUCCUAAAAGAUGCAGAAGUCUUUAAAGGUUGGUCUGUUCGAUCAUUAAAAUCCUACAUGAUCUGAGUUCAGACCGGCGUGAGCCAGGUCAGUUUCUAUCUUCAAUUAAAUAUUUUAAAUUUAGUACGAAAGGACCAAUUUAAAACAAUUAUUGUUUACCUAGAUUAAUUAUAAUGUAUACAUUUAAGUUUUUAUAAU
Molecule: ribosomal RNA, 1339 nt
Filed under: Tricula hortensis
Lineage: Eukaryota; Metazoa; Mollusca; Gastropoda; Littorinimorpha; Pomatiopsidae
Description: large subunit ribosomal RNA
Rfam family: Bacterial large subunit ribosomal RNA (bases 865-1250)
Source: RNAcentral